AGUAACGGCGAGUGAAGCGGCAACAGCUCAAAUUUGAAAUCUGGCCUCUUUUGGGGUCCGAGUUGUAAUUUGUAGAGGAUGUUUUGGGUACCGCACUGGUUUAAAUUUCUUGGAACAGAAUGUCAGAGAGGGUGAGAAUCCCGUCUUGGACCGGCGGUAGGGCCUAUGUAAAACUCCUUCGACGAGUCGAGUUGUUUGGGA
This 201-nucleotide ribosomal RNA is filed under the name Phialophora verrucosa. RNAcentral's name for it is "partial large subunit ribosomal RNA". It matches the Rfam family "Eukaryotic large subunit ribosomal RNA", at positions 82 to 279 of the family's 3401-position model. Lineage: Eukaryota; Fungi; Ascomycota; Eurotiomycetes; Chaetothyriales; Herpotrichiellaceae. RNAcentral also lists the same sequence under 1 other name. The record is from RNAcentral.